UACGUAGGGUGCAAGCGUUGUCCGGAAUUAUUGGGCGUAAAGAGCUCGUAGGCGGUUUGUCGCGUCUGCUGUGAAAACUCGGGGCUUAACCCCGGGCCUGCAGUGGGUACGGGCAGACUAGAGUGCGGUAGGGGAGUGCGGAAUUCCUGGUGUAGCGGUGAAAUGCGCAGAUAUCAGGAGGAACACCGGUGGCGAAGGCGGCACUCUGGGCCGGUACUGACGCUGAGGAGCGAAAGCGUGGGGAGCGAACAGG
Molecule: ribosomal RNA, 253 nt
Filed under: uncultured bacterium
Lineage: Bacteria
Description: partial 16S ribosomal RNA
Rfam family: Bacterial small subunit ribosomal RNA
Source: RNAcentral